GUGCCACUAUCUUUGUAGGUUCGAUAACGAGUGCGAAAUUGUGCACCUUUGCUGAUGAAUUACUUUUAGAAGAUUGAUAUUGAUGCUUAAACUGGGGCGCAAGUAGCGCUACCAACUUUUACUGGACACGUAUGUGAACCAUUGACGGCGUGUGUCUACCGUACGGUCCAAGAUGUCCGUCUAUCGUUCUGAAAACAUCGCGACGGAACCGAGAAAUGUGUUUUCGGGUGUGUGUGACCCAACCAGUAAUUGGAUGGGUUUUUGGUGCGGGUUGGAAAGUCAGACAGGCAGUCGUUUCUGGAAUACACUGGACCAUACAAAUCUUCAGGUCAGAAUCAAAGCGCAGUUUACCCUCAGACCACACGCCUGUACUAAUGUUGGAACGCUGACCAUAACAAUAAACUGUAAAUAUCAAUGACAAUUAGAUUUAGAUGUUCGUUAAUCAAUAUCAUAG
Pectinophora gossypiella (pink bollworm) is the source of this 454-nucleotide long non-coding RNA. RefSeq lists it as uncharacterized. Lineage: Eukaryota; Metazoa; Arthropoda; Insecta; Lepidoptera; Gelechiidae. The transcript has 4 exons. The record is from RefSeq and is a predicted model, not a curated record.